Molecule: ribosomal RNA, 468 nt
Filed under: uncultured bacterium
Lineage: Bacteria
Description: partial 16S ribosomal RNA
Rfam family: Bacterial small subunit ribosomal RNA
Source: RNAcentral
GACGAACGCUGGCGGCGUGCUUAACACAUGCAAGUCGAACGGAAAGGCCCUGCUUUUGUGGGGUUCUCGAGUGGCGAACGGGUGAGUAACACGUGAGUAACCUGCCCUUUACUUUGGGAUAACUUCAGGAAACUGGGGCUAAUACCGGAUAGGAGCUCCUGCUGCAUGGUGGGGGUUGGAAAGUUUCGGCGGUUGGGGAUGGACUCGCGGCUUAUCAGCUUGUUGGUGGGGUAGUGGCUUACCAAGGCUUUGACGGGUAGCCGGCCUGAGAGGGUGACCGGCCACAUUGGGACUGAGAUACGGCCCAGACUCCUACGGGAGGCAGCAGUGGGGAAUAUUGCACAAUGGGCGGAAGCCUGAUGCAGCAACGCCGCGUGCGGGAUGACGGCCUUCGGGUUGUAAACCGCUUUCGCCUGUGACGCAGCGUGAGUGACGGUAAUGGGUAAAGAAGCACCGGCUAACUACGUG